This 253-nucleotide ribosomal RNA is filed under the name uncultured bacterium. RNAcentral's name for it is "partial 16S ribosomal RNA". It matches the Rfam family "Bacterial small subunit ribosomal RNA", at positions 524 to 776 of the family's 1533-position model. The record is from RNAcentral.
UACGGAGGGUGCAAGCGUUGUUCGGAAUCACUGGGCGUAAAGGGCGUGUAGGCGGUCCGCUAAGUCUGAUGUGAAAGCCCGGGGCUCACCCCCGGAAGGGCAUUGGAAACUGGCGGACUCGAGUCCCGGAGAGGAAGGUGGAAUUCCCGGUGUAGCGGUGAAAUGCGUAGAUAUCAGGAGGAAUACCGGUGGCGAAGGCGGCCUUCUGGACGGUGACUGACGCUGAGACGCGAAAGCGUGGGGAGCAAACAGG